Molecule: unclassified non-coding RNA, 2930 nt
Organism: Acanthaster planci (crown-of-thorns starfish)
Lineage: Eukaryota; Metazoa; Echinodermata; Asteroidea; Valvatida; Acanthasteridae
Source: RefSeq, a predicted model, not a curated record
CUGUACACUGCAUGUUGUUCAGUCGAGCACAUUCCCCCCUACACCCGUGACUAGACUCGAACCAGCCGUUCUUUGAGAAACAAUGAUUAUGUACAAGCAUUCUACCAGAUACAACCUUCCCUGUAGCCUGUUCUCGGAAGCCUGCGGGAGACGACUCCACACUUUGCCCGCAGACUUAUGCAUUAGAUGUGCUAUGUGUUAAUUAAUAAACUGGAGGAUCCUGCUCGACAAGCCUUUGCUUCUUGGGACCCCCCAUCCACACUUCUUUAUUUAUUCAUGACAUAUUGUAAUGGACAGUUAUGUAGUAAACAAAGAAUGAAUGAAUGAAUGACACCCCCCCGAUCGCCAGUCACCUAAUCUCACUGAUGUCUGAGACAAUGGUGAUCCACGGGCAACCUGCUCCAUUUCUGGUCAUGCCCUGGUGAUGACACUGUUCAUCCCAGUUCAUAAAGUGGCUUGUGACUUGGCUGAAGACUGAAUGACUUGUGAUGGACUGAACUACCAAUGUGCAGCACUGAAGUACGUGUAUGACCUGUUAUUAUGAAGCACUGAUGGUCAAGACCAAACUGGAACUGAGAUCAUAUCAAGAGUUCAAGCAGUAUUUCCAUCACCUGAUCCCAAAGCCAUGAAGGACAAGCGAAUGGGAAAAGUGGUAGCCUAUACGCCAGGCCUGAAGAAUGGAAAAGGACAUGUAUGAGCCAGUAGGGUAAAUGAUGGACAGUCUUUUGUUGUGAGGAGUACCAUCACAUCUUGGCUGAGAAGAUCUACAAGAUCCAGAAGGAGCUGCGGUAGAAGCCACAGAAGAGGAAGCAGGAGGUACUGAUGCUGCCGCUGGAGGCAUCCCCAUUAAUGCAGCAGCGCUGCUGCCCCAGCCUCAGCCUCCCCACUAACUGCCCAGACCAGUAUGUCCACUGGGAAAAUGUAGCUCUUUCAACCAAUGUAUAUUAGAAUUAUGCUGUACAUAACGAAAUGUAUAUGGUCUUGAAGCGUUAUUUUGAUGUCAGUGUUGCUUUGGCUCAGCAAUGAAAAGUGGACUGGUAGAAUGGGGCGUCAGGUUGGCAUAGUGAUACUUUUGUCACCUUCCACUUCUGUGAAUCCAGCCCAGGUUAUCAUGUGGAUUUUUCAGUCUUUACUUAACUUUGUGGGUUUUUCUCUAUAAUGUUCAUGUGGAGUUUUUCCUUCCACUUCUAAAACGGAACACUGUCCUCAUAUAUUUGCAGUUGUAAUUUGAAGUUGUAGAUCGUCAUAUUUCUCAAGUGGUUACUGGCAGCCCUUUGAAAAACAUGCUGGAGAUUAUAUUGAUACCAUCAAUAAAAAAAGCGGGAGUUUUUAUAAUUUUAUUGUUGUUGAAAUUACACAGGGGAAAUGGUAUUGUUUAUGGUAGCAGGGCCAGGUUUCCUUCAGUUUAGUUCUAAAUGUGGUCAAAAUACAGACUGAUCCUUUGUGGUUCACUCAACGAAGUCUGUACACAGGUUAACAUAAAUUUGGUGUGUGAUUUCUACUUACAGUUUUAUUUCAAUUCCAAACAUCAGUAACUUUUUAAGUUAUCACUGAAUAGUCAAGACCUUUUCUUUAUUUGUAGUUUUCUGAAGGCUUUUAUUUUACUUCAUAUUUGAACAGUGAUGUCAUCCAUUGAUCAUCGUGCAAUUUUAAUGACUGCAGAUGAAUUGACUCAGAGUGUGUACAAAAUGCAGAUGUAAAACAAAAAUUGUACGAUGUAAACAACAAAUAAAAGUGUAAUGCAAACGUGAAUUUUAUGUUUUGAAACACAUUUCAUAUCUCAGUAUGUGGAAUGAAGAUGUCAAUUGUACUCAUAGUCAGUAAAUGUAACUAACUCAAGCCUAAAAUUGUAUUUGUAAUAGGAGCUUCACUCAUUAGAUGCUUCUGGAAAAUGCCAGAAAUCUUUUUUUCCGCACACAACUGUUCUUUCUUAUUAUCUUGAUCAGGACUUGAACAUAGCUUUUGCCACAAAUAAAUUACAUUGCUAAUUUGAUAGACAAACUAACAGAUAUUUACAUGUAUGUACAUAGGGUCUACUGCUUGACAAAGAGAAAACAAAUGAAAUGGUUUGUUUUGUUUUUCAAGCACACACAAAGUCUGAGUCUGUGGAGGUACACUGUGUGUUGAAUUUGAACUUGGCAGCCGUGCAUAUAUGUCCCUGUUGUAGUAUGUACCACUCCAUGGGCAUGUCCCACAUUGUUGAAAAGUAUGAGGUUGUGGUAAGAAAUGUGUGACAAAUACUCUUCAAAUGACUGGUGUAAAUCACUAUGGUAAUUGGCUGUGUUGGUGGCCAUAUCUUACCUUUUUCAAGAGCCGAAACUUUUGGCCAAAAAUUAUACUCAACUGCAAGUGGACAAGAGGAAAGGGGUGGAAGAUUUGAGAAGUAAAUUGCUAUUCAUGUUUCUUCAUUUCUACUUGUUUGAUUUUUUUAAAUAAACAGACGAUUCACUAUCCGAUUUGCCAAACUUGGUCUUGAAAGUCAGCGAUUUGAGUCUUAAGAUGGCAACACCUUGCGAUUGAAGAAUAUAAUAGAAAGCUUAAGGCUUUAGUACUGAACAGGUCCAGUCUCCCUCAGGAAACUUCUAAGUGCCUUUAGUCUAUGCAUUUGUUAUUCCAAAAUGGUCCACCAAUCAAAAAUGGGCUUGUUUAUGUGUCAGGCUUAUGUGAAAUAAAUACAAGCCUUUUGCCUUUUAGACAUUUUGGAGAAAUAUGGGUUAGAGAGUACAGAUUUGAUCUUGUAUGGCCUGUUCCACUUCACCACAGGUCAAUACAUUUGAGACAAAUCUAGGCAAUCUCUGUGUACAAACGUUUCAAAAUGAUUUUGAAUUCUAGAUGAGUACUCCAUGUACUUUUUGUAAUUCCUGUAAUCAGUGUAAAAGUCGGAGGAUUUUAUUGAAUAAAAUAAAAUGUGUGGCCUGAGACAUUAAUAA